RNAcentral lists this ribosomal RNA (207 nucleotides) under uncultured bacterium. RNAcentral describes it as "partial 16S ribosomal RNA". It matches the Rfam family "Bacterial small subunit ribosomal RNA", at positions 568 to 774 of the family's 1533-position model. The record is from RNAcentral.
CGUGUAGGCGGCCUGGUAAGUCAGGCGUGAAAGGUUCUGGCUCAACCAGAGACUUGCACCUGAUACUGCCAGGCUUGAGUGUAGGAGAGGAGAGCGGAAUUCUUGGUGUAGCGGUGAAAUGCGUAGAUAUCAAGAAGAACACCAGUGGCGAAGGCAGCUCUCUGGCCUGUCACUGACGCUGAGGCGCGAAAGCCAGGGGAGCGAACG